RNAcentral lists this ribosomal RNA (591 nucleotides) under Listeria monocytogenes. Its description in RNAcentral is "partial 23S ribosomal RNA". It matches the Rfam family "Bacterial large subunit ribosomal RNA", at positions 1188 to 1788 of the family's 2925-position model. The record is from RNAcentral. Lineage: Bacteria; Bacillati; Bacillota; Bacilli; Caryophanales; Listeriaceae.
AUAUUACCGAAGCUGUGGACUACACCAUUAGGUGUAGUGGUAGGAGAGCGUUCUAAGGGCGUUGAAGGUCGAUCGUGAGGACGGCUGGAGCGCUUAGAAGUGAGAAUGCCGGUAUGAGUAGCGAAAGACAGGUGAGAAUCCUGUCCACCGUAUGACUAAGGUUUCCUGGGGAAGGCUCGUCCGCCCAGGGUUAGUCGGGACCUAAGCCGAGGCCGAUAGGCGUAGGCGAUGGACAACAGGUUGAUAUUCCUGUACCAGUUGUUUUUGUUUGAGCAAUGGAGGGACGCAGUAGGCUAAGGAAUGCAUGCGAUUGGAAGUGCAUGUCCAAGCAAUGAGUCUUGAGUAGAGUUAAAUGCUUUACUCUUUAAGGACAAGUUGUGACGGGGAGCGAAAUAAUAGUAGCGAAGUUCCUGAUGUCACACUGCCAAGAAAAGCUUCUAGUGAGAAAACAACUGCCCGUACCGUAAACCGACACAGGUAGUCGAGGAGAGUAUCCUAAGGUGAGCGAGCGAACUCUCGUUAAGGAACUCGGCAAAAUGACCCCGUAACUUCGGGAGAAGGGGUGCUGACUUCGGUCAGCCGCAGUGAAUA